GAUGAACGCUAGCGGCAGGCCUAACACAUGCAAGUCGAGGGAGAAGCCCUUCGGGGCAGAAACCGCCGCACGGGUGCGUAACGCGUAUGCAACCUACCUUUCACAGGGGGAUAGCCCGAAGAAAUUUGGAUUAAUACCCCAUAAUAUUAUUGGAUGGCAUCAUUUGAUAAUUAAAAUUACGAUGGUGAAAGAUGGGCAUGCGUCCUAUUAGCUAGUUGGAGUGGUAACGGCACCCCAAGGCUACGAUAGGUAGGGGUCCUGAGAGGGAGAUCCCCCACACUGGUACUGAGACAGGGACCAGACUCCUACGGGAGGCAGCAGUGAGGAAUAUUGGUCAAUGGUCGGAAGACUGAACCAGCCAUGCCGCGUGCAGGAAGAAUGCCUUAUGGGUUGUAAACUGCUUUUAUAUGGGAAGAAUAAGGAGUACGUGUACUUUGAUGACGGUACCAUAUGAAUAAAGCAU
RNAcentral lists this ribosomal RNA (463 nucleotides) under Capnocytophaga granulosa. Its description in RNAcentral is "bacterial SSU rRNA". It matches the Rfam family "Bacterial small subunit ribosomal RNA", at positions 28 to 494 of the family's 1533-position model. Lineage: Bacteria; Pseudomonadati; Bacteroidota; Flavobacteriia; Flavobacteriales; Flavobacteriaceae. The record is from RNAcentral.